Non-coding RNA from Lupinus albus (white lupine), 446 nucleotides. The record is from the annotation of a GenBank genome assembly. NCBI's taxonomy places the organism in Eukaryota, Viridiplantae, Streptophyta, Magnoliopsida, Fabales, Fabaceae.
AUCCACCGGCAGGCCCAUAAUGACAUCAAUGUGAGGAGAGGGGCUAGUGGAGCCGAAUAAAAAAAACCCAUAAGCCCGAUUACAUCAAUCUAAGUUUCGGAGACUUGCAGCAUCGCCGCUCGAAGUUAGGGUUUAUUGGCGCCUAUAAAAUGCGUAUCAAUUCAACAUCAUUCUUAUACAAAUGCAACGCAUCAUUCUUCUUCUUCGAAAUCAGGAUAGUGUUCUUGUUCUUUAGCUAAGAUUUCUUUUGAAUAUGUGUGCGUAUUUAUAUUUGCAUCUUUGUUAUACUAUUUGAAUUGUUCUUUUGAAUCUGUAUUGAAACUAAAAAAGCCAAUUUGCAGAGCAAGGGCGCCGAUAAAAAUGGCGUAACUUGCAUUGAAGGUUGGCGAAAACAAUUAGUAUUGCGAUUCUCCGUGCCUAUCAAGUUGAUUUAUAUCGUUUUGUUA